GUGAAUAGCAGAUAGAAUAUUUAAAGUGGAAGUACCUUACCAAUACUGUUCAUUUAUCUUCUUUUUAUAGACGAGUUGUUGGUAACUAUCUGUAACGGUUAGGCAUGUGGAUCCCAUUUAUUCCGAUACUAUGUGAUCGUGGGAUGGGCAGUUAAUGCCCACUGAUGAUCAUGGUAUGUGGCUAUUAUGUGCUUUCUGCGC
This 201-nucleotide long non-coding RNA is filed under the name Elaeis guineensis (African oil palm). Its description in RNAcentral is "long non-coding RNA (EGUI_LNC025638)". The record is from RNAcentral. Lineage: Eukaryota; Viridiplantae; Streptophyta; Magnoliopsida; Arecales; Arecaceae.